This 497-nucleotide ribosomal RNA is filed under the name uncultured bacterium. RNAcentral describes it as "partial 16S ribosomal RNA". It matches the Rfam family "Bacterial small subunit ribosomal RNA", at positions 28 to 507 of the family's 1533-position model. The record is from RNAcentral.
GAUGAACGCUGGCGGCGUGCCUAAUACAUGCAAGUCGAGCGAACGGACGAGAAGCUUGCUUCUCUGAUGUUAGCGGCGGACGGGUGAGUAACACGUGGAUAACCUACCUAUAAGACUGGGAUAACUUCGGGAAACCGUAGCUAAUACCGGAUAAUAUUUUGAACCGCAUGGUUCAAAAGUGAAAGACGGUCUUGCUGUCACUUAUAGAUGGAACCGCGCUGCAUUAGCUAGUUGGUAAGGUAACGGCUUACCAAGGCAACGAUGCAUAGCCGACCUGAGAGGGUGAUCGGCCACACUGGAACUGAGACACGGUCCAGACUCCUACGGGAGGCAGCAGUAGGGAAUCUUCCGCAAUGGGCGAAAGCCUGACGGAGCAACGCCGCGUGAGUGAUGAAGGUCUUCGGAUCGUAAAACUCUGUUAUUAGGGAAGAACAUAUGUGUAAGUAACUGUGCACAUCUUGACGGUACCUAAUCAGAAAGCCACGGCUAACUACGUG